This 149-nucleotide ribosomal RNA is filed under the name Bacillus thuringiensis serovar monterrey. RNAcentral's name for it is "partial 16S ribosomal RNA". It matches the Rfam family "Bacterial small subunit ribosomal RNA", at positions 1 to 143 of the family's 1533-position model. Lineage: Bacteria; Bacillati; Bacillota; Bacilli; Caryophanales; Bacillaceae. The record is from RNAcentral.
UUUAUUGGAGAGUUUGAUCCUGGCUCAGGAUGAACGCUGGCGGCGUGCCUAAUACAUGCAAGUCGAGCGAACGGAUUAAGAGCUUGCUCUUAUGAAGUUAGCGGCGGACGGGUGAGUAACACGUGGGUAACCUGCCCAUAAGACUGGGA